UAGAUGAAUGCUCGCUGGUUGGGGCGCCUAGCUGUUAACUAGGCGGUUGUAGGAUCGAGGCCUACUCAUCUAG
This 73-nucleotide transfer RNA is filed under the name Vinciguerria nimbaria (oceanic lightfish). Its description in RNAcentral is "tRNA-Asn". Lineage: Eukaryota; Metazoa; Chordata; Actinopteri; Stomiiformes; Phosichthyidae. The record is from RNAcentral.